AGUGAACGCUGGCGGUAGGCCUAACACAUGCAAGUCGAACGGCAGCACAGUAAGAGCUUGCUCGUACGGGUGGCGAGUGGCGGACGGGUGAGGAAUACAUCGGAAUCUACUUUUUCGUGGGGGAUAACGUAGGGAAACUUACGCUAAUACCGCAUACGACCUACGGGUGAAAGCAGUGGAUCUUCGGACCUUGCGCGAUUGAAUGAGCCGAUGUCGGAUUAGCUAGUUGGCGGGGUAAAGGCCCACCAAGGCGACGAUCCGUAGCUGGUCUGAGAGGAUGAACAGCCACACUGGAACUGAGACACGGUCCAGACUCCUACGGGAGGCCGCAGUGGGGAAUAUUGGACAAUGGGCGCAAGCCUGAUCCAGCCAUACCGCGUGGGUGAAGAAGGCCUUCGGGUUGUAAAGCCCUUUUGUUGGGAAAGAAAAGCAGCAGGUUAAUACCCCGCUGUUCUGACGGUACCCAAAGAAUAAGCACCGGCUAACUUCGUG
This 492-nucleotide ribosomal RNA is filed under the name uncultured bacterium. RNAcentral's name for it is "partial 16S ribosomal RNA". It matches the Rfam family "Bacterial small subunit ribosomal RNA", at positions 29 to 507 of the family's 1533-position model. The record is from RNAcentral.